UGGUUCUGGCAUCGAUGAAGAACGCAGCGAAAUGCGAUAAGUAAUGUGAAUUGCAGAAUUCAGUGAAUCAUCGAAUCUUUGAACGCACAUUGCGCCCCUUGGUAUUCCGGGGGGCAUGCCUGUUCGAGCGUCAUUUCAACCCUCAAGCACUGCUUGGUAUUGGGCUUUCGUCAGUAAAAUGACGGGCCUCAAAAUCAGUGGCGGCGCUGCUGGGUCCCGAACGUAGUAAUACAUUUCGUUACGGGCGUCCAGCGUGCUUCUGCCAUUAAACCCCCAACUUUCUAAGUUUGACCUCGGAUCAGGUAGGGAUACCCGCUGA
Molecule: unclassified non-coding RNA, 319 nt
Filed under: uncultured fungus
Lineage: Eukaryota; Fungi
Description: partial contains 5.8S ribosomal RNA and internal transcribed spacer 2
Rfam family: 5.8S ribosomal RNA (bases 1-133)
Source: RNAcentral